GGUCCUUAUCUCUGGUUUGGCUUUCACAGUGAAGCCAAACCAGGACAGCUUGUUACACAGAGUCUGGAAAGCAGCCCUUCACGUUGGGAUUCUGGAAUUGGGUCACUGACGAGUCAGAUUUCAAUAAGGAAAACAUACUUGAAAAUCAUGCUGACCAACUAUAUUGGUGACAUUAGGCUAAUUUAACAUGAUAGAAAAGAAAUUCCAAGUACUGUUCUUUGCAUUAUGGGUAACUGUGUCUGCUGUGCAUUGGAGUAAAGUCGAAGAUUUGAAAAUGACUUUGGAACUCUCUCAAGAAAUCCCUUAUCCAAGAAAUACAGGAUAAAUAGCCAUGUGGAGAUGAUCAACAUCAGGAGUAUGGUUGUACAACCAGAGCCAAUGAAUAAACUUUUAGGUAUUCCUAGGUUUCUUUUUCAAUAAUAUAAAUAUAUUUUAAAUAA
Molecule: long non-coding RNA, 440 nt
Filed under: Pongo abelii (Sumatran orangutan)
Lineage: Eukaryota; Metazoa; Chordata; Mammalia; Primates; Hominidae
Description: lincRNA
Source: RNAcentral